GGCACUAUAGUGUAGUGGUUAUCACUCGGGAUUUUGAAGCGAUUUCCCGAAACCCAGGUUCGAACCCUGGUAGCGCCU
Molecule: transfer RNA, 78 nt
Filed under: Amanita muscaria Koide BX008
Lineage: Eukaryota; Fungi; Basidiomycota; Agaricomycetes; Agaricales; Amanitaceae
Rfam family: tRNA
About the family: Transfer RNA (tRNA) molecules are approximately 80 nucleotides in length. Their secondary structure includes four short double-helical elements and three loops (D, anti-codon, and T loops). Further hydrogen bonds mediate the characteristic L-shaped molecular structure. tRNAs have two regions of fundamental functional importance: the anti-codon, which is responsible for specific mRNA codon recognition, and the 3' end, to which the tRNAs corresponding amino acid is attached (by aminoacyl-tRNA synthetases). tRNAs cope with the degeneracy of the genetic code in two manners: having more than one tRNA (with a specific anti-codon) for a particular amino acid; and 'wobble' base-pairing, i.e. permitting non-standard base-pairing at the 3rd anti-codon position.
Source: Rfam by way of RNAcentral